GGACCUGCUGGGGGAGAAGGAGAAUCUGGACAAAGAGGCGACCUUGGUGAAGCAGGUUUGCCAGGCCCUAAAGGAUCUGAUGGCAAUCUUGGUGAACCUGGCUCACGUGGGCCCGAGGGAAUCCGUGGCAUGCCUGGCAUAGAAGGAUUCCGUGGGCCUCCUGGCCCCCGUGGUUUGCAAGGGGAAC
This is a non-coding RNA of Thamnophis sirtalis, 187 nucleotides long. The record is from RefSeq and is a predicted model, not a curated record. NCBI's taxonomy places the organism in Eukaryota, Metazoa, Chordata, Lepidosauria, Squamata, Natricidae.